ACUGCGGAGGAUCAUUACUGAGUGGCUGUAUUCGUGCUUCUCUUCGGAGACGCGAAGCUACCCGACCUGAUGUCAUUUUAUCCGAGGGCGCGCCCGCUUGAGAAGACAGCGGUUUGACGUUGUGGUGUUACCCGGACGAGGCGCUUGUCUCGUAAGGGGAAGCUUCCGGGUCGGGCCGUGGCGCGUUCCUUGGCACAACUUUCCGCGGAAGUGGUAGGCGUUGACUUGCCCGCCGCGGGCCAUACUUUUCACAACUCUCGAAGAAAACCUGAAGUCUGAAUACCAAAACAAAAACGAAAAGCAAAACUUUCAACAACGGAUCUCUUGGCUCUGGCAACGAUGAAGAACGCAGCGAAACGCGAAAGGUAAUGCGAAUUGCAGAAUCAGUGAGUCAUCGAAUCUUUGAACGCACAUUGCGCCUCUCGGUAUUCCGGGAGGCACGCCUGUUCGAGCGCCAUUACAAACUCCAAGCGUGGCUUGAUGUUGGGCGAUGUCUUUUUGCGAGAGCGGGAGACACGCCUGGAACGCGUUGGCGCCGCCGCCGGACCACGAGCGUAGCAAGACGAGAGUCAAUCGCAUCGAUUUGGUUUCCGACGGAGGUCCGCCUUGUGACUGCACUUUCGAGUGUAGUUGAAAAACUUCUCAAGUUUGGCCUCGGAUCAUGCGGGGAUACCCGCUGAACUUAAGCAUAUCAUA
This 696-nucleotide ribosomal RNA is filed under the name Scolecobasidium humicola. Its description in RNAcentral is "eukaryotic LSU rRNA". The stretch from base 305 to 457 matches the Rfam family "5.8S ribosomal RNA". Lineage: Eukaryota; Fungi; Ascomycota; Dothideomycetes; Venturiales; Sympoventuriaceae. The record is from RNAcentral.